This 247-nucleotide long non-coding RNA is filed under the name Panax ginseng (ginseng). RNAcentral describes it as "long non-coding RNA (PGIN_LNC008668)". Lineage: Eukaryota; Viridiplantae; Streptophyta; Magnoliopsida; Apiales; Araliaceae. The record is from RNAcentral.
UCCGAAACAGUCCCCGGAAAAUUUUGGGCAGAAACUUUUUGUCAUUUGGCAGAUUUGGAGUCCUUCACCAAAACUUAAAUAAAACGAAAUCUGUAACUCCGAUUAAUGAUCCGUCAAUUUUUUUGGAUUCGUGUCUUUCCGAACUAUAGUUUUCAUAUAUCACAAUCCAUAUUUGGAUAUGUUUAGCUCCCGGAAUUUAGCCCGGAAGUGACUGCUCCAAAACUGUCCUUUUCACAGUUUUCUUAAC